RNAcentral lists this long non-coding RNA (946 nucleotides) under Elaeis guineensis (African oil palm). RNAcentral describes it as "long non-coding RNA (EGUI_LNC010581)". Lineage: Eukaryota; Viridiplantae; Streptophyta; Magnoliopsida; Arecales; Arecaceae. The record is from RNAcentral.
AUCAAGGCCAUAGCAGGUUUGCACCUAACCCACACCCUCACUGUCGAACAUGCAGAGUGCUUAAGAAUUGGGUUUCUCCAUUUGUCAAGCAGUGGGAACCAAAUGCUUUUAUAAUUGACAGAGAGUUUCAACUCUCAAAUGUUAAGAAAAAUCCAUGACGUCCACAAACUGUACAAAAAAGGAAUAGUUUGAUACUGAAGGAGAGGAAACAUGAGAAGGGAAGACAUCUCGGCUACCAACUCGAUGCCUUUCUUGCACCAUCACUUAAUAGGGGAAUAUGGUGCACGCUGCCAAUCACAGCCAUUUUCUCUUAUAGAUCUCAUUCAUCAAGCUUUUAUAUUGAUGUUCUACUAAAGGAAUGGAUGGCUGUCAUUAGUGGUGUGCAUGACCACAUGGUGCACAUCAUGUAAGAUAUAAUUUCUUCAUCUAAUAAUAGUAAUAAAUGUAGGCAGGCAUUCCACCUUUCCUGCUUCUCACAACCAAUGGAACAACUGGUUACGCCAAGAAUCUGCCUCCCCAGCUCGUUCCACACACAUCUCCUCUCUACCUCUCAUUGACUUGCUUCCAAGAGACCCACAUUCCACUCACCCCAUUGUCAUAUUUAAUAGCACCACGUCAAACCGUCCAAUUGAUACAAGCCAUGAUCCUAUUGCCAAUAAUAGUAAAUAAACCUUUUUAUUAGCCACCGAAUCCAACCCAAUCCGAUCAUGCAAGAGAGCAACAUGGGGUUGGGUUGGGUGGUAUGUAAUAUAACCAAACCAGUAGUGCAUAAAAUUACCCAAGUCAAGCCCUCACACCUACUUUAAGCUUUCUUUAUGCAUGACACACUUGUAUUAUACAAGUCUAUAAUAAAAUCCAAGCCAACAAUGAGCUAAUUUUGUAGUCAAAUUUUAAAUUAGUGUCUUCCUGUUAUAACGGCCGUCAAUGAGAUCUCUAUGGUGCAGGU